CAUAGGUUAAUGAGGCGAACCGGGGGAACUGAAACAUCUAAGUACCCCGAGGAAAAGAAAUCAACCGAGAUUCCCCCAGUAGCGGCGAGCGAACGGGGAGCAGCCCAGAGCCUGAAUCAGUGUGUGUGUUAGUGGAAGCGUCUGGAAAGGCGCGCGAUACAGGGUGACAGCCCCGUACACAAAAAUGCACAUGCUGUGAGCUCGAUGAGUAGGGCGGGACACGUGGUAUCCUGUCUGAAUAUGGGGGGACCAUCCUCCAAGGCUAAAUACUCCUGACUGACCGAUAGUGAACCAGUACCGUGAGGGAAAGGCGAAAAGAACCCCGGCGAGGGGAGUGAAAAAGAACCUGAAACCGUGUACGUACAAGCAGUGGGAGCACGCUUAGGCGUGUGACUGCGUACCUUUUGUAUAAUGGGUCAGCGACUUAUAUUCUGUAGCAAGGUUAACCGAAUAGGGGAGCCGAAGGGAAACCGAGUCUUAACUGGGCGUUAAGUUGCAGGGUAUAGACCCGAAACCCGGUGAUCUAGCCAUGGGCAGGUUGAAGGUUGGGUAACACUAACUGGAGGACCGAACCGACUAAUGUUGAAAAAUUAGCGGAUGACUUGUGGCUGGGGGUGAAAGGCCAAUCAAACCGGGAGAUAGCUGGUUCUCCCCGAAAGCUAUUUAGGUAGCGCCUCGUGAAUUCAUCUCCGGGGGUAGAGCACU
RNAcentral lists this ribosomal RNA (705 nucleotides) under Escherichia coli. RNAcentral describes it as "partial 23S ribosomal RNA". It matches the Rfam family "Bacterial large subunit ribosomal RNA", at positions 165 to 911 of the family's 2925-position model. Lineage: Bacteria; Pseudomonadati; Pseudomonadota; Gammaproteobacteria; Enterobacterales; Enterobacteriaceae. The record is from RNAcentral.